GACGAACGCUGGCGGCGUGCUUAACACAUGCAAGUCGAACGGAAAGGCCCUGCUUUUGUGGGGUGCUCGAGUGGCGAACGGGUGAGUAACACGUGAGUAACCUGCCCUUGACUUUGGGAUAACUUCAGGAAACUGGGGCUAAUACCGGAUAGGAGCUCCUGCUGCAUGGUGGGGGUUGGAAAGUUUCGGCGGUGGGGGAUGGACUCGCGGCUUAUCAGCUUGUUGGUGGGGUAGUGGCUUACCAAGGGUUUGACGGGUAGCCGGCCUGAGAGGGUGACCGGCGACCUUGGGACUGAGGUACGGCCCAGACUCCUACGGGAGGCAGCAGUGGGGAAUAUUGCACAAUGGGCGGAAGCCUGAUGCAGCAACGCCGCGUGCGGGAUGACGGCCUUCUGGUUGUAAACCGCUUUCGCCUGUGACGAAGCGUGAGUGACGGUAAUGGGUAAAGAAGCACCGGCUAACUACGUG
This 468-nucleotide ribosomal RNA is filed under the name uncultured bacterium. RNAcentral describes it as "partial 16S ribosomal RNA". It matches the Rfam family "Bacterial small subunit ribosomal RNA", at positions 28 to 507 of the family's 1533-position model. The record is from RNAcentral.